Molecule: ribosomal RNA, 119 nt
Filed under: Pteropus alecto (black flying fox)
Lineage: Eukaryota; Metazoa; Chordata; Mammalia; Chiroptera; Pteropodidae
Source: RNAcentral
GUCUACGGCUAUGUUACCCUGAACACACCCGAUCCCGUCUGAUCUCAGAAACUAAGCAGGGUCGGGCCUGGUUAGUAGCUGGAUGGGAGACCACCUAGGAAGACCAGGUGCUAUAGGUG